UAUAUAUAUAUAUAUGAUACAGAUACUAAAAUGAUACAGAGAAGAUUAGCAUGGCCCCUGCGCAAUGAUAACAUGCAAAUUCGUGAAGCGUUCCAUAUUUUU
Octopus bimaculoides (California two-spot octopus) is the source of this 102-nucleotide non-coding RNA. Lineage: Eukaryota; Metazoa; Mollusca; Cephalopoda; Octopoda; Octopodidae. The record is from Rfam.